This 466-nucleotide ribosomal RNA is filed under the name Pseudothelphusa sulcifrons. Its description in RNAcentral is "partial large subunit ribosomal RNA". It matches the Rfam family "Archaeal large subunit ribosomal RNA", at positions 1950 to 2639 of the family's 2987-position model. The record is from RNAcentral. Lineage: Eukaryota; Metazoa; Arthropoda; Malacostraca; Decapoda; Pseudothelphusidae.
CCUGCCCACUGAUAUAAAUUUAAUGGCCGCGGUAUUAUGACCGUGCAAAGGUAGCAUAAUCAUUAGUCUUUUAAUUAAAGGCUUGUAUGAAUGGUUGGACAAAAGAAAAACUGUCUUUUUAGUAAAAAUUGAAUUUAACUUUUAAGUGAAAGGGCUUAAAUAUUUCAAAGGGACGAUAAGACCCUAUAAAGCUUUAUAAAGAAUAAAAGUUAGGUUGAGGUUUGUUUAUUAAAAAUUAGGAUUUAUAUUUUAUUAGGUUGGGGCAACAAAAGUAUAAUUAUAAGUAACUGCUUUAUUUAUAAACAAAUAUAUUUGUAUUAAAGUUAAUUGAUCCUUAUUUAAAGAUUCUAAGAUUAAGUUACUUUAGGGAUAACAGCGUUAUUUUUUUUGAGAGUUCUUAUCGAAAAAAGAGUUUGCGACCUCGAUGUUGAAUUAAAAUUUCUAUAUAGUGCAGUUGUUAUAUAAG